This 207-nucleotide ribosomal RNA is filed under the name uncultured bacterium. RNAcentral describes it as "partial 16S ribosomal RNA". It matches the Rfam family "Bacterial small subunit ribosomal RNA", at positions 568 to 774 of the family's 1533-position model. The record is from RNAcentral.
CGCGUAGGCGGUUAUGUAAGUCAGGGGUGAAAUCCCGGGGCUCAACCCUGGAACUGCCUUUGAGACUGCAUAGCUUGAGAGCGGGAGAGGUGAGUGGAAUUCCCAGUGUAGAGGUGAAAUUCGUAGAUAUUGGGAAGAACACCGGUGGCGAAGGCGGCUCACUGGCCCGUUUCUGACGCUGAGGCGCGAAAGCGUGGGGAGCAAACA